This 1325-nucleotide transfer RNA is filed under the name Marmota monax (woodchuck). Lineage: Eukaryota; Metazoa; Chordata; Mammalia; Rodentia; Sciuridae. The record is from RNAcentral.
CUUUUACAAGGGGAAGGGUGGCCCUGUGACUCACUGGAAGAGAUAAUUUCCACCUAAGAUGGAAAAAUGUACAUCAGAUGGAAUCAUCACUGCUAUGGACCAAAUUAUCACAUGCUAAAACCUGUGCAUGGCAUGAAAAAAUCUCAGUACAGGUAGCUAAGUCAAUACUGUAGAAACACGAAAAAGGACACAAUCCAACACAAGUGGACAGGGAGGAAAGGACCAGGAAGAAGAUAUAGUACCCAGGAGUAUGCCCACAGUGACAUACUUUCUCCAGCCAUGCCCCAAUUUCCUCCAGUUUCCACACCUCCCAGUAGUUUUUUUUUUUUUCAGUUGUAGUUGGACACAAUAUCUUUAUUUCACUUAUUUAUUUUUAUGUGGUGCUGAGGAUCGAACCCAGGGUCUCACACAUGCAAGGUGAGUGCUCUAACUCUGAGCCACAACCCCAGCCCUCCCAGUAGUUCUUUCAGCUAUCAAUGGAUGAGUCCACUGAUGAGGUCAGAGCCCUCAUGAUCCAAUCAGUUUCUACAUUUGAGCAUUAUUGUAUUGGGAAACAAGACUUUAACACAUAAAACUUUGGGGGCACAUUUCCACUCCAAACUAUAACCAGCUCCAGGCCAAGUUGGGACACUCUGGAGUCCAAGGCACUUGUAAAAAAAAAGGCAUUAGGUGUGUUCAGGGUCUCAGCACAGUCUGUCUUUAGGCAAGAGUCAGUGUGGGUAGCAAGCCAACAGGUCUUGGAGCUGGAUUGGAGGAAAUCUCAGGUCUGUGGCUCAAACCUGUUCUUAAGGAGGUUCUCAGCUGUGGUAUAGAUUGUCCUACAGAGUCCCCAGUGAACACUACUGACCACCUUCUGCCCCAGUCCUACCAAAGCAGAAGACUCAUGAAAAUGCUAACAUGUUCUAUGCCAUGAACUCUCAUGAUAACUGUUAUUUUUGCCUGAAGAAGUGGACCUUCACCUGGGUGUAUGAAGGUCCUGCAUAGAGCCAGUUCAACCCUCCCUCACAUGAAUCAGAGACAGCUCAAGAUUGCCAAGAGCAUCUUCUGAUGGACAUCUCCCUGGGGACUGGAUGGCCAAUGGUAAAGCACUUUCAGGCUUGUUAGAGUCUGUAAACAAGUCAAAAUAACACCUGGCAUUUUGCCAGGGGAAUGUUAGAGUUCGUAAACAAGUCUGGAUGGUGCCUGGCAAAAUGCCAGAGGGAGUGGUUUGAGAAGUAACAAAAGCAAGCCAUUAAGUGUGGAGAUUCCUUAUUGGUUGACUGAUGUAUCUAGUUUAUGCUAAUUAGAUAAGCUGUGUGGAAUGUAUAAAUACUGCUCCUGUCCUG